This 72-nucleotide transfer RNA is filed under the name Pseudomonadota bacterium. Its description in RNAcentral is "tRNA-Met". It matches the Rfam family "tRNA". From Rfam's summary of the family: Transfer RNA (tRNA) molecules are approximately 80 nucleotides in length. Their secondary structure includes four short double-helical elements and three loops (D, anti-codon, and T loops). Further hydrogen bonds mediate the characteristic L-shaped molecular structure. tRNAs have two regions of fundamental functional importance: the anti-codon, which is responsible for specific mRNA codon recognition, and the 3' end, to which the tRNAs corresponding amino acid is attached (by aminoacyl-tRNA synthetases). tRNAs cope with the degeneracy of the genetic code in two manners: having more than one tRNA (with a specific anti-codon) for a particular amino acid; and 'wobble' base-pairing, i.e. permitting non-standard base-pairing at the 3rd anti-codon position. Lineage: Bacteria; Pseudomonadati; Pseudomonadota. The record is from RNAcentral. RNAcentral also lists the same sequence under 1 other name.
UGGCGGGAUGGUGUAACGGCAACAUUCCGGCCUCAUUCGCCGGAGCCGCGGGUUCGAAUCCCGCUCCCGCAA